This 76-nucleotide transfer RNA is filed under the name Magnetococcales bacterium. RNAcentral describes it as "tRNA-His". It matches the Rfam family "tRNA". Rfam says of the family: Transfer RNA (tRNA) molecules are approximately 80 nucleotides in length. Their secondary structure includes four short double-helical elements and three loops (D, anti-codon, and T loops). The record is from RNAcentral. Lineage: Bacteria; Pseudomonadati; Pseudomonadota; Magnetococcia; Magnetococcales.
GCGGUCGUAGCUCAGUUGGUAGAGUCCCGGAUUGUGAUUCCGGUUGUCGCGGGUUCAAACCCCGUCGAUCGCCCCA